Molecule: ribosomal RNA, 519 nt
Filed under: Thalassospira sp.
Lineage: Bacteria; Pseudomonadati; Pseudomonadota; Alphaproteobacteria; Rhodospirillales; Thalassospiraceae
Description: bacterial SSU rRNA
Rfam family: Bacterial small subunit ribosomal RNA
Source: RNAcentral
GUGGAUGCGGCAGCUACCAUGCAGUCGUACGAGAAGGUUCUUUCGGGAACUGGAGAGUGGCGCACGGGUGAGUAACGCGUGGGGACCUACCUCUUAGUGGGGGAUAACGGUUGGAAACGACCGCUAAUACCGCAUACGCCCUUCGGGGGAAAGAUUUAUCGCUAAGAGAUGGACCCGCGUUGGAUUAGAUAGUUGGUGAGGUAACGGCUCACCAAGUCAGCGAUCCAUAGCUGGUUUGAGAGGAUGAUCAGCCACACUGGGACUGAGACACGGCCCAGACUCCUACGGGAGGCAGCAGUGGGGAAUAUUGGACAAUGGGCGCAAGCCUGAUCCAGCCAUGCCGCGUGAGUGAAGAAGGCCUUCGGGUUGUAAAGCUCUUUCAGAUGCGAAGAUGAUGACGGUAACAUCAGAAGAAGCCCCGGCUAAUUUCGUGCCAGCAGCCGCGGUAAUACGAAAGGGGCAAGCGUUGUUCGGAUUUACUGGGCGUAAAGGGCACGCAGGCGGUCCUGCCAGUCAGGG